Molecule: ribosomal RNA, 429 nt
Filed under: Bacillota bacterium
Lineage: Bacteria; Bacillati; Bacillota
Description: Firmicutes bacterium partial 16S ribosomal RNA
Rfam family: Bacterial small subunit ribosomal RNA
Source: RNAcentral
UAGGGAAUCUUCGGCAAUGGACGGAAGUCUGACCGAGCAACGCCGCGUGAGUGAAGAAGGUUUUCGGAUCGUAAAGCUCUGUUGUUAGAGAAGAACGUUGGUAGGAGUGGAAAAUCUACCGAGUGACGGUAACUAACCAGAAAGGGACGGCUAACUACGUGCCAGCAGCCGCGGUAAUACGUAGGUCCCGAGCGUUUCCCGGAUUUAGUGGGCGUAAAGCGAGCGCAGGCGGUUCUUUAAGUCUGAAGUUAAAGGCAGUGGCUUAACCAUUGUACGCUUUGGAAACUGGAGGACUUGAGUGCAGAAGGGGAAAGUGGAAUUCCAUGUGUAGCGGUGAAAUGCGUAGAUAUAUGGAGGAACACCGGUGGCGAAAGCGGCUCUAUGGUCUGUAACUGACGCUGAGGCUCGAAAGCGUGGGGAGCAAACAGG